Long non-coding RNA from Falco peregrinus (peregrine falcon), 4718 nucleotides. RefSeq lists it as uncharacterized. The record is from RefSeq and is a predicted model, not a curated record. The transcript is spliced from 4 exons. Lineage: Eukaryota; Metazoa; Chordata; Aves; Falconiformes; Falconidae.
UGCAUCUCUCGGGUACUCUGUCCUGACAGGGGAAGCAAAGCCACCAGAGUUUCUGUGCUCAUUUGCAAACAGGACUUGCUGAUUCCAAAGCGAAAGAUGAUUGCUCCAAGGUCAGACUCCUCUUCUCCUGCUUGGGCUGGAAAGUACAGCAAAGCACGAGGGGGCCCAUGGAAGCAAAUGGAGUACGGCACCACUGAUUGAGGUUCAGGAAAGGUGUCCCUACCUCUGCCAUUGCUCGUGGAUGCCCCAUAUGGCUGCGCAGUGUCCUCCUACCUGUUUUGGAAAGCGGGUCAGAGAUGCCCCAAGGAAGCAUGUGCUGGAGAUGUGAAGGAAAAACUCUUGCCCUUCAAACACAUGGCGGCUCCAGUGCAGGAUACACUGAUGUCACGUCUGCACCACAAACUCCACGAAAAGCUACGCUUGUCCACAGCUCCUUACUCUGCAGCAGUGGUGCAAUGAGUGGCCUGUAUAUAGAACAUCACUGCCAAGAGCUCAUCAGUUCUGAUCUUGUAAUUGUGCUUAAUGAUUGCUGAAAGGAACCAAACAAUCACGAGUGAACUUCAGCUUCCCUGGUAAUUAAUAUUGUUAUUACAGAAUUGUUAAUAAUUAUUAGACUCUGGCAAUCUAGGAAGCAUCAAAGAUUUUAAGCAUCUCCAGGAAGACACACAGCCUGCUCAACUUCUGUUUCGUGGUUUACAGCUUUGUCCUUACUUUGAACGUACCUCUGACUAAUGCCAGCCCUGGUAUGAGCCCAGAAAAGCCUUCUAAUUGCUCACAAGAAACUCUGCUAAUUUCAGACAUACACAAAUUCAGCCUUGAGACAAUCUUUGUUUUGGGGACAUGCUCUGCUGUCCUAGGAGAAACAUGCAUGGCUUUUGUGCAUUGCAGGUGCCACUACGGGCAAUACGCAAGCAAGGGCUGCUUGGUGUCACGGCAAAUUUUCACACGAGCAGUGCAAAACUGAAAUUUUUCUUACAGGUUGCUAAACACCAAAUUUGCAAUUGCAUUCGCUGUAUGCAAACAGGCCUGCUAUUUUGCGUGUUUUGUUGACUGCAAUAUAUUUGGCAUGCAAAAGCUGUGUCUUCAGGGAUUUUUUUUUAAAUAAGUAGUCUGGACGUAUUGUAAGAGACAAAGUAAUUAGCAUUCACUCAGCCCAGCAGGGCAGCAAUUUAAACUUUUACAAGGAGUCAAAGUUCAGGAUGCUGCCCUGCCAUCAACUUUCUACAUACAGAAGGGAUACAGACUGGAAUAUCCAAACGUUUCAAGCUACUCUGGGUUAUUUGAAACUCCAACAGACACAUUACUAUGGGGAAAUUGCUUAAUCUGCUCCAGGAUUUAUUGCUAUUGUAUGUUCAGUAUGGAGGUCUUGGAGGGUCAGAAAGGGCUGCGUUCAGUGCAAGUAUUUUAUACCACAUUAAAAAGUUUCUGACCAUACCUUUAAUCCUCAAUAUCAUUACAUCCUAUUUUUAUGCAGACAUGCCUAUAAAAACACUCCACAAAAUGAAUCUCCAUUUACACCCUGCUCACAAUAAUCCCACAGUGUGGGGAAAGGAGGAAGGCGAAGCACUGCUGCUUGCUUCAAUCCAGGAAAAGGCAAGUUUGUUGUCAUAUAAAGCAAAUAAAUAGAAAAGUCAGAAGGGAAAAAAAAAAAAAAAAGUCCUACUGCGUUGGAUUGAUUUAAGAGUAAGUGCAUGCUGCCAGAGAAAUAGAUUUUUUUCACCCGUUAGGCAGUCAUUUUUACAAAUGUGCAAUGUGAGUACUGAUUAAAGCUUACAGAGAAAAGAACAUUUUUUCCCCCUGGUUUUUUUUUUUUGUUGUUGUUGUUUGUUUGUUUUUUGUUUGUUUUGGUUUUUUGUUCAUCCCACCCAUUGCUCCCCAUGGCAUGACCCUACUCUACCCCCCGCAUCUGCUUGGGGUUGCUGGCAGGGAGGACAGGAACCCAGCCCCUGCCCACCCCAGGGAGGAAAAUCCAGUGCCCCAGGCUUGUGGGGGGAUGGCUUGGGGGGUUUCAGGAGGGGACGGGGAAGACUGCAGCUGGUCACUAGGAGAGGAAAAUACUUUGCCCUGCUUAGCAUAAUUAUUUGGGGCUUUCAGAGAGAAAGCAGUAAUGAAUCUUUUUGUUCUUUUUCCCGCCACCCCAGGCUUUCACUUGUAAGAGCAGGUAAAACCAACUAGAAAGAGGAGAUGAGAAAGAAAUAUAUAACACUACAUUCGUUUUGUGGAUGAGUCACACUCAGUGAAAGCAAAACAACCUGAGCAGGAAGGAAACUUGGGUACCACAGACCUAAAUAUAACAAAAAAUCUGGGUGAAAACCAGUCUUGUUUGAUUGCCCUGAAAAGUAUUGUCUCAUUCUGCUGGCUUUACCUGGUAAAAAAACAGUGAGAAAUUUCAUUAUGUGUUUUGGUGGCAUCUUUGCACCUCAGAGAAAUAAAUUCAAAAGCAAAAACCAAAAGCACAAGGAAUCAGCACAUCAAGAGUUUAGGCCUCUUGCAGGAACAAGAAUAAUUUUUUUACAUUCCCAACCUUUACAGGAGUUUCAAAUUAAAAAGAAAACUUUAAUGCCUUGUUUGCAAGUAAGAGUAUCAUCUCUCAGGUUCUCGCUAUUUCCUAUUUGCCAAGCAAAACAAACUUUGAAAACAAACAGUUCAGCUCUUUCCCAUCUCCAGAAGACCUAGUGAAGGUUACCGACUUGCAGCAGAGCUGCCACGUGCAAAACUGGGCAGAAACAAUCCCCCGCACCCCCACCUUCACUUCACAGACGAAGGGAAUUUCCUACCUUCCCAUUUUACAUAAGGCAGCACAAGACAUUAAGUAAUUUUUGAGUCAGUAAUUCAGGCUGCCCUGUGACUGCAGGAGGAGGUGGGGAUGGCCAAAUGGGUGCUUCACUUCAUUAGCAUACCCUACGAUGCUUCCUCCUAAAACAGGACUGACUUUCUCCACCACCAACACACACACACCCCCCUGACCCAAUGCAAAUUUCUACUAGCUUAAGUCAUUAGUGUGGUCCAAAGAGUUAACUUCAUUCUCUUCCUCAUUUUAAACUUAUCGUAUUUCUUCUUGUGGGCAAAUUACUGCCGGAGGAGUGUGAUGAGAGAAUAGGUUUCCUAAAUAUUUAUGGAUUAGCCCAAACUAAGCGGUGGGGCGAGGGUGUGUGUGUGUGUAGUAAUCAUAUGAUAUUUUCAGCCUCCUUGCCUCUAAGAGGCGUGAAGGGUUCAGAUACCUGACUGCUGAUCUCUAGCACUUAUGGAAACGAUCAGAGAUCAACAGGGUCUUCUUGUCCAGUGAGGUCCAUACCAGCAGCCCUGUUAAUACCUGCGGCUGGGGUGCAGGGACCCGUCACCCCUAUACAGAUCCUUUAACCCCAGAGCCAAACUCUGAUAAAAACCCAAGCAAGGCUUUCUUUGCCUUCAUUAAGGCCCGUUCCUGUCACACAUUUAGACAAACUCUUACUCCUAAAUUUUCCUUUUUCUGCCAAAAGCACAUUUUCUAAUUGAAAAGAGAGGUAACUUGUUUUAGUGUCACAGGCUGUAAUUAAGCAUAGUUUGUCUAGAAUAGCUCCAGGGUUUAUUUAUUAUUUAUUAAAGAAAGGUUAGUUAUUUAUUGGGGGGGAAGACACAUCGGUAGUUGCAACUUCACAGAAUAAAUCACAUGGCCCAUCACUCAACCUGCUUUAGGACAUUAGUGGAUUACUACUGGGGUCAGGAAAAAAUUUUCUUUUACUGAUAAAGUGUUAUAUAAUAAGGAUAUUUUUUGAUAGUUUCAAGUCUCCCUUGAAGCUGUGGCUCUUUCUGGUCACUAUUCAAGGACAAAACAUUGGCUUUGUUUAAGGUGGGGGGAGAGGAAUAAAACACAGGUCUUACUUUGAACCUUACACACAAGAGUGCUCCGACAUCACUGUGACAAGCACCAUAAAUGGUGCAGAGGACAGGCUGCUGAAGUCCCCGCUGAAGACAUUUUUUCCUUCCCUCUGGCAGAGGGGAAGAUCUACCACCACAUGUGAGGAUAAGCCCUGGUGCAAAUGGACUGGUGUGCAGGGAGACAUCCUCUGGGAAGAGUGACAUUGUCUCUCCAGAUAUGCCCAUCUAGCUACUCACAAGCAAAAGACAGAGCGCCAUCCUGGGAUCUUGUCACAUCCAUCUUGCACAAGGAGAAGAAACCUGACAGUGCCUGGGAUGGCUUGGCAAGAAGAAGCAACAAAGAGCAGUCAGGAAGGGAAGCAGAGAAGAGAUGCAUCUCUCAGCAGUGAAGAGAUGCAUCUUGACAGACUCCCCCUCUCAUUCUCCAAACUCCAGGCCCAGCUGGACUCAAAGUCCCAACUGCUCUCCCCAUCAGGAUGGGGGACGUGGGAAGUGCGUGGCUGGUAAUACACCCGACAGGCUCAAAGGGAUCCGAGAACACCCUCAGGUUCACAAGCACCCGGAGUUUGCCAAAUCAUUUCAGCUCAUCUCUAAUUGUCAGCGAUCUCUAUUAGCUCAGUAGUGUGGCUUUGACAUAAGGAUGAACAGAAGGGUUGUUACUGGCUAGUGAUAGGAGAGGAGCUUCUGGUCCAAGGAAGAAAAGCAUCUUCCAUGGCAGAAGGAGAAUCUUUUUUUCCUUUCCACAUAGGCUAUACUAUAUGAGAAGGCUAACCGACAGAAGACAAAGGGACUGCACAACGGAUGUCCAUCAGCUUAAACUUUUCCUAAUAUCACAUAAAUAAAAAUAAUUUUUGAAAAGG